Molecule: transfer RNA, 72 nt
Filed under: Porticoccus sp.
Lineage: Bacteria; Pseudomonadati; Pseudomonadota; Gammaproteobacteria; Cellvibrionales; Porticoccaceae
Description: tRNA-Met
Rfam family: tRNA
About the family: Transfer RNA (tRNA) molecules are approximately 80 nucleotides in length. Their secondary structure includes four short double-helical elements and three loops (D, anti-codon, and T loops).
Source: RNAcentral
CGUAGCUCAGCUGGUUAGAGCACAGCAUUCAUAAUGCUGGGGUCGGUGGUUCAAGUCCACCCGUAGCCACCA